Molecule: transfer RNA, 77 nt
Filed under: Ailuropoda melanoleuca (giant panda)
Lineage: Eukaryota; Metazoa; Chordata; Mammalia; Carnivora; Ursidae
Rfam family: tRNA
About the family: Transfer RNA (tRNA) molecules are approximately 80 nucleotides in length. Their secondary structure includes four short double-helical elements and three loops (D, anti-codon, and T loops). Further hydrogen bonds mediate the characteristic L-shaped molecular structure. tRNAs have two regions of fundamental functional importance: the anti-codon, which is responsible for specific mRNA codon recognition, and the 3' end, to which the tRNAs corresponding amino acid is attached (by aminoacyl-tRNA synthetases). tRNAs cope with the degeneracy of the genetic code in two manners: having more than one tRNA (with a specific anti-codon) for a particular amino acid; and 'wobble' base-pairing, i.e. permitting non-standard base-pairing at the 3rd anti-codon position.
Source: Rfam by way of RNAcentral
ACUUGGCUGGCUCAGUCAGUAGGUAGAGCAUGUGAUUUUUUAUCUCAGGGUCAUGAGUUCAAGCCCCAUGUUGGGUG